CGCUGGCGGCACGCCUUAUACAUGCAAGUCGAACGGAGUAGCAAUACUUAGUGGCAGACGGGUGAGUAACAUGUGGGAACCUUCCCUUUGGUGAGGAAUAACACGAGGAAACUUGUGCUAAUACCUCAUAAGUCUUUACGGAGAAAGCUUUAUGCGCCAAUGGAUGGGCCCGCACUUGAUUAGUUUGUUGGUGGGGUAACGGCCUACCAAGACUGUGAUCAAUAGCUGAUCUGAGAGGAUGAUCAGCCACAUUGGGACUGAGACACGGCCCAAACUUCUACGGGAGGCAGCAGUAGGGAAUAUUGCACAAUGGAGGAAACUCUGAUGCAGCGAUGCCGCGUGAGUGAAGAAGGCCCUUGGGUUGUAAAGCUCUUUCGUCGGGGAAGAAAAUGACUGUACCCGAAUAAGAAGGUCCGGCUAACUUCGUGCCAGCAGCCGCGGUAAUACGAAGGGACCUAGCGUAGUUCGGAAUUACUGGGCUUAAAGAGUUCGUAGGUUGUUAAAAAAGUUGGUGGUGAAAUCCCAGAGCUUAACUCUGGAACUGCCAUCAAAACUUUUUAGCUAGAGUUUGAUAGAGGAAAGCAGAAUUUCUAGUGUAGAGGUGAAAUUCGUAGAUAUUAGAAAGAAUACCAAUUGCGAAGGCAGCUUUCUGGAUCAUUACUGACACUGAGGAACGAAAGCAUGGGUAGCGAAGAGGAUUAGAUACCCUCGUAGUCCAUGCUGUAAACGAUGUGUGUUAGACGUUGGAAAUUUAUUUUCAGUGUCGCAGCGAAAGCAGUAAACACACCGCCUGGGGAGUACG
This 802-nucleotide ribosomal RNA is filed under the name uncultured Pelagibacteraceae bacterium. RNAcentral describes it as "bacterial SSU rRNA". It matches the Rfam family "Bacterial small subunit ribosomal RNA", at positions 34 to 884 of the family's 1533-position model. Lineage: Bacteria; Pseudomonadati; Pseudomonadota; Alphaproteobacteria; Candidatus Pelagibacterales; Candidatus Pelagibacteraceae. The record is from RNAcentral.